AAAACUACUCUCGGUAACGGAUAUCUCGGCUCUCGCAUCGAUGAAGAACGUAGCGAAAUGCAAUACUUGGUGUGAAUUGCAGAAUCCCGUGAACCAUCGAGUCUUUGAACGCAAGUUGCGCCCCAAGCCUUCUGGCCGAGGGCACGUCUGCCUGGGUGUCACAA
This 164-nucleotide ribosomal RNA is filed under the name Cardamine x insueta. RNAcentral's name for it is "5.8S ribosomal RNA". It matches the Rfam family "5.8S ribosomal RNA". From Rfam's summary of the family: 5.8S ribosomal RNA (5.8S rRNA) is a component of the large subunit of the eukaryotic ribosome. It is transcribed by RNA polymerase I as part of the 45S precursor that also contains 18S and 28S rRNA. Functionally, it is thought that 5.8S rRNA may be involved in ribosome translocation. The record is from RNAcentral. Lineage: Eukaryota; Viridiplantae; Streptophyta; Magnoliopsida; Brassicales; Brassicaceae.